Molecule: ribosomal RNA, 468 nt
Filed under: uncultured bacterium
Lineage: Bacteria
Description: partial 16S ribosomal RNA
Rfam family: Bacterial small subunit ribosomal RNA
Source: RNAcentral
GACGAACGCUGGCGGCGUGCUUAACACAUGCAAGUCGAACGGAAAGGCCCUGCUUUUGUGGGGUGCUCGAGUGGCGAACGGGUGAGUAACACGUGAGUAACCUGCCCUUGACUUUGGGAUAACUUCAGGAAACUGGGGCUAAUACCGGAUAGGAGCUCCUGCUGCAUGGUGGGGGUUGGAAAGUUUCGGCGGUUGGGGAUGGACUCGCGGCUUAUCAGCUUGUUGGUGGGGUAGUGGCUUACCAAGGCUUUGACGGGUAGCCGGCCUGAGAGGGUGACCGGCCACAUGGGGACUGAGAUACGGACCAGAAUCCUACGGGAGGCAGCAGUGGGGAAUAUUGCACAAUGGGCGGAAGCCUGAUGCAGCAACGCCGCGUGCGGGAUGACGGCCUUCGGGUUGUAAACCGCUUUCGCCUGUGACGAAGCGUGAGUGACGGUAAUGGGUAAAGAAGCAACGGCUAACUACGUG